Long non-coding RNA from Dicentrarchus labrax (European seabass), 3815 nucleotides. Lineage: Eukaryota; Metazoa; Chordata; Actinopteri; Moronidae. The record is from Ensembl.
AUGUUGAUUAAAACAAAAACCAAUAAUGAACAGAAAUAUGUCAAGAUCAGUGAACCAAGUCUGGAUGAAUUCUUGAAUUCUGCUUUUGUGAAGUUCUCCAUCCCACCCGUCAAUGAAGGCAUCAGAGUUUAUGAUGAAACAGGAACUGAGGUGGAUGCAGAUGUCUUUGCAGAAGUGGCACAGCUGCCCAAUGCUGGUGUAUUUACUAUUCAGUUUGACAAUGGUUCACAGGGGAACGCUUCAUCUGCCAGUCCACCAGUCCAAACCAAUUCAGCAUUGGCCCUUUCAUCAUCAACCAGCUCUGAUGAUACAAUCAUCCUGGAUUUGGACAGCGGUCCUUCCAGAAAACGGCAGAAGGUAAAUCAAGAUGCCAAACAAGUAAGUCAGUGUAGAACAUAUUUUGUGCCAGCUUCAAUUUGUGCAUUGCAUACUUUUUUUUAUUAUUUUUAAAUGUAUUGACUGUCAAUUGUUCAAGGUUAUUUAAUUUUAGUGAAUAAUGGCUUGUCUUUUAUUCUGUCCUUUCACAGGUGGUUGAAUCAGCGUUGACCAAGAAACCCGGUGGAGAUCGUAUUACUAAGGAAUACAACCGGACAAAAGGCCUGACUGAUUCCUCGCGGCGACAGAUGGUUAACAUCCUUGCAGCAGAUAUGACUGAAACUUAUGGGUAAUAUGGAUAUUUGUGUUUCAAGCAGAACAUUUCUUCCAUGUUUUUUUAUUGGGAAAACAAGUGUCAUUAUUUAAUUCUUGACAUUUAUUAUAAGCAUUGAAAUAAAUUGUAUUCACUUUCUUUACUUCACUCUCAUUUUACAGAGAAAUGUCCAUUAGGCCAAACAAAUGUAAAAAAAGAAAAAGAGAAUGCUGUAGUUAUGUCUUAACUUGUGGUAUGUGAUUUAUCUUUUGCAGAUUGAGCAAGACUUCAUCUUGCAGUUUGGAGAAGAUGUAGCUGCCAAGUUUUUGGAGAGGUUAGUCCUAACUAUAUUUGUCUUUACCCAAAAACCCUGUUAUAGAUUUAUGAGGUGAUCAUCUGUAAGGCACUUGUUUUACUCUCAUUGUCUGUAUAACAUCUACACAUUUACCUCUUAUUGGAAUACUUGAGGAUGUAGCUGUUUUUAGAACUUGUAUACAAGUUGGUGCCUUUUUAGCAUGUAAAUAACAUAGUUACCUGAUGGAAACAUUUAGUUUUGUUAUUCUGAUCUUUGAUACAUUUUAUCUGCUUUUUCUUAUGUCAGCUGGUGGUGUAUGAAUUUUUCCAUGUUGUAUUAAUAAAAUAUUUCUCUAUCUAGGUGGCCUACAACAUUCAAGAAAAGGGUCAUCCAGCAGAGUAAGGCUCUCCCUUCCUCAGGCGACCUUGAAGAUCUGAUCUAUUGUGCAAAAGUUACAUCAAAUGAAGAGGAAAUGGAUAAUGACAUUAUUGCCUCUGGUACUUUAUUUUCCUAAUUAUUUUCUUCAAGGUUUUUGACUUUGACCAGCUUUUUCUUUAGUCAGCUUUAACUUUAAAGGAAUGGUGUUUUUAAAUUGUAAAAUAAUUGUACAAUCAUAUAACAUUUAGCUCUUUUGUUUCUGUGUACAGGAUGGGACAGUGAUCUAUCUUCAAUCAUUCUCCUCCACCUGAUUCCUCCAACAGCCCAGGGGCAGAAAAGGCCAGGCAAGGUGUCUGCAUCCCAAGCUGAGAAGCACCUUGUCGUGUUCAAGAAGGUUUGUAUUAUAGCUUAUAUGGGUGUUUUUCUUUUUCUUUUUCUUUUUUUAUUUACUUUUUCAGACAGCUGGGGUUCUUGUAAAGUUGGAAGAAAACACAAUAUUUUCCCCUCAUUGUGUCUGGGGGCAGCAGUAGUUCAGUCUGUAGGGAUUUAGCUUGGGAACCGGAGGGUGACUGGUUCAAGUCCAGCAUGGACCAAAGUAUGGAGGGUAGACUGGUAGCUGGAGAGGUGCCAGUUCACUUCCUGGGCACUACCGAGGUACUGAAGGUACCGAACCCCCUAACUGCUCCCAGGGUGCCGCUACGUGGCUGUCCAUCACUCCACCAUCUCUCCACAUUUGCAUGUCUAUGAGCCCUUUGUGUGUGUUGUAUUUUGGGCCAAUGAAUGUAAAAACUUGAGUGAAAAAAGAAUUUCCUCUUGAGGGAUCAAUAAAGUAUUUAUUCUUUUCUGUUCCUGUGUAUAGUAUAGUGUAAGUAAAUUAACUAAAUGUUUUAUUGUUUUGUUUUUUUUUAGAGUGGAACAAGCAUCCAGGAAUACAUUGAUAUCAUCAACAGCACCACUCAACCCUAUCUACUUGCUGUUGGCAUGAAGAGGAGCGCAAUCCAUGAGUUCUUCAUCGUUCUGGACAAGCAGGUCAUACCAUGCAACUCAACCACUUCACUUGGAGCUUUUGAUGAACUUGUGAAGGCACACUUUGUAUUUGGGACUCAUACAAUCAGAUGCUCCACAACAUGUACUAGGGGUGUAAAGAUUCACCAAAUCCACGGUUCGGUUCAGACCUUGAUUUUUGAGCCACGGUUUGGUUCAUACCGCGGUUUUCCCCGUUUCCCCAUUUUGCAGAGAAACAGAGAGAGAGAGAUGUUAUCUGAUAUUACAUUAAGCGGAUACGGCAGAACUCUUACAUUACGGACUGUCACUGAACACAACACUGCAGAUGUCACUCACUAACGUUAGUUUCGGUUUGGACCCACAUGCACUUGAAAACUGAAUCACGGGUGAGUUUAUGAAAUGUACUGCUGAUGGAGAAAGUCAGCAGAGACACACACAGGGAGAGAGAGACAGAAAGAGGCGGAGCAAGCGGGCGUGUUUGCCGUGAGUGACCAGAGGUCCAGGCUAGGUGUGUGUGCUGUGUGUAAGUGUGGGGAGAAGAGAAAGGGAGCAGAUUAAAAUAGUAAAUAAACACUAAAAUAAGGUGGAAAAUGACCUAGAAUAACCUACUGUCAAUACAAAUACAAUAUAGGCCUAAUACCCCAUGGGCCGCCGCCACCGCCGCAGUUGUCUGCACUGUCUUAACGAGAGCUCAACAGUCCAGGGAGCGAGUGUGUCGCAGUUCUGUCUCUCGGAUCCGUGACACGAGACCGUGGACUUUUGUGUCACCAUUUCGGUCUCGGUUUCAGAACCGUUACAGCCCUAACAUGUACACCUUCAUACAGACAACUGUCUACGACAUUGAUUUGGGCCAAGUCCAGGAGAGCCCACGUGUUGCUGAGAUGAGGGCUAGACUUCUGCAUUCUACAGGCUAGUUCAUGCAUACACUGACAUAUGGAACAGGCAACAUAUUUUCUGUUAAUUUAUCAAUAAUGUUGUCUUGAGUUUUGGAUAUUGUGAGAUUUUCUUUGACCCAUUUCACCCAUUUUUAUAUCACACUUUAACAUCUUACUUGAUAUCAUGGAGGUUAUUUGUUUUGUUUGCCAGAUUCAUUUUGUGAGCACCAACAGUCUUGUGAGGCAUAUGCGAUUAAUACAUGGUUUAUAUCAGGGCAAAUCACUUCGCUUAAAAUGUGCUCAGGCAGGAUGCUGCCAGGUUUUUGGCACAUUUUCAGGCUUUAGGAAGCAUCUAAAUACAAAGCAUGCUGAUCAAAUUGAACUUGAAGUUGAAACUGACAUUGUAGACACUGAUGUUGCAGAUGAUGCUCAGUUGCCAAUUAGUGAAGAAGCUGCCAGUACGUCUCAAGUUCUGCCCGUAUCCAACACAAGUACUCAUGAUUUGUGUGCAUCUGCUAUUGCACAGCUUCAGGUUGCUGGUGUAAGCCAGUUUACUUUAAAUGGUUUUCUAUCAUCCAUGGAAGACGUCGUACUGGAGGUACAGAGUCAAGCAAAGCUGCAGCUUUAACAUUUC